AAUAUAAUGCAAUGUGGAUUGUAUUACAUCAUUUAUUAACCACAAAUCAUGAAAUCAAUACCACAGAAUCAAAUAAUGUCAACACCUCUGUACUAACAACCAACAUUUUAGCAUAAGGAGUAUCACAGGAGUGAUUACUUGCACAUCAGGAGUAUUACAAUUACAACUAAAGAGGCAUUGUCCUCACUGCUAUCCCUGAGCCCUUCACAAGGAGAGUUCCAAGCCUCGCAACUUCUUCCUCCAGCUCUGCACAUGACACUCAGGUACGAACCUCGUCCCUCAGCAAUUAGACUCUGGUAGUUUGCAAACUCCCAUUUCCCAUAGCAGAUUGAUUUACAUGGCUACUCUCACCAAUGAGAGGACCAAGCGCACAAGAUUCAGAACUUUUGCAAGCAAACAAUUAUAGAGCUAUGGGUCUCUGAGCACUUACCAUGCCUAAUCACAUGAAUCCAAGAAAUUUGCCAACUCAAAUGCUACAAAGACCAAAUGAUGGUGUGAGGCAGCUCACCAUAUAUCAUCGACUCUUACAAUGAUAGAUCCAUAGAUCAGCGAGGAUAUUCAUAACUGCUUCACCUAAGAAGGCCAAGAUGCCAUACACACAAUUAGAGCCAAAACAAAACCUGAAGCAGUGGAAAUAGCCAUCCACUUGCUGGAGGAAAUAAAUGAAAUAACAAGCAAGAAGAAGCAAACUGAUGUCGGCAGUGUAUCAAACAAUCUUACUGAAAUGAUCAAUACACAAAAAAAGGAAGCGAUCUCUAGUUGGCAACGCACUGAAUUUAGCAUAUAAAUGCCAUGGUGAGUAAAAUAAUUACCUUAGACCAUCUUAGGAAAUGUUCCAGAAGAGAAGGCAAUGACUUUUCCGUAUCACCCAUAGCAUGAAUUUUUCAACUUCAAAUCGUAUG
Molecule: long non-coding RNA, 902 nt
Filed under: Triticum aestivum (bread wheat)
Lineage: Eukaryota; Viridiplantae; Streptophyta; Magnoliopsida; Poales; Poaceae
Description: long non-coding RNA (TAES_LNC028557)
Source: RNAcentral